Molecule: ribosomal RNA, 253 nt
Filed under: uncultured bacterium
Lineage: Bacteria
Description: partial 16S ribosomal RNA
Rfam family: Bacterial small subunit ribosomal RNA
Source: RNAcentral
UACGUAGGGUGCAAGCGUUAAUCGGAAUUACUGGGCGUAAAGCGUGCGCAGGCGGUUAUAUAAGACAGUUGUGAAAUCCCCGGGCUCAACCUGGGAACUGCAUCUGUGACUGUAUAGCUAGAGUACGGUAGAGGGGGAUGGAAUUCCGCGUGUAGCAGUGAAAUGCGUAGAUAUGCGGAGGAACACCGAUGGCGAAGGCAAUCCCCUGGACCUGUACUGACGCUCAGGCACGAAAGCGUGGGGAGCAAAAGGG